AAAAUAUAAAACAAUGUUCUACGUUUUUUAAUAAUAAUUAUAUAAAAUAAACAUGUUUACUGUAAAAGGUAGGGAGGGCUUAGCCCUGUUGGCCCAUUAAUACCAGCCGUCCCUGGUUAAUAUGGUGUAUGUGUUGUGCUAAAAGCCUAUACGGGUUAGCCUAUUGUGUAGACUAUAUUAGCUUAAAGUGAAAUCUUAUGUCUUGGUACUGUAAGUCAUUCUGAAAUGAUUACUGUUUUACUGUAUAUUUAUUGCUCAUUGUUAAAAAAAAAAAACGAAUGUACAUUUAUUACAUAAGGGAAUUAAUUAUUAUUAUUACAUCUAUCACAAUAGUACAUGCAUAGAAUAAAUACCACUGAAAUGGUUAUGUUUAACUUGCGUAGUCUAUUGUGCAGAAUGCUAACCUCAUUCAUUUAUUUGAAUGCAGGCUGAAAAUGCUGGCAAAAGUGGAAUAUGGGGAGUCCAAAAAUACAUUAAAGUUCCUCAAACUGAUGACAAUUUCCAUUUCCUCCAGUUUCUUCAAGAAGCGACGGACAAAUUUAGUCUGCAGGCUCAACGUCUAUCCGAGGGUGUGUUAGCCUUGACUGAUGCAUCAGAUACCGAGGUUGAUGCAGACACAUUUGAUGAGCUGAUAAAGUCAGGGGUCCGAAACUUCAAGGUUGGAUACCGCAAGUACCCAGUAAUGGAGUUGGACCUUGAAUUGGUGGAAUGCAACUCGCAGUCCUCCGUAUUGUCAGACUCCACAGCAUCACCAGUUUCAUUGCCAGGACCCCCCGCAUCACCAGCUUCUACAAGUUCAGGUUCGACAAUCAUCCUCCCAUCCACUAAAAACCGGAAGAGAGGCC
Gadus macrocephalus (Pacific cod) is the source of this 845-nucleotide long non-coding RNA. RefSeq lists it as uncharacterized. The record is from RefSeq and is a predicted model, not a curated record. The transcript has 3 exons. NCBI's taxonomy places the organism in Eukaryota, Metazoa, Chordata, Actinopteri, Gadiformes, Gadidae.